Molecule: ribosomal RNA, 484 nt
Filed under: uncultured bacterium
Lineage: Bacteria
Description: partial 16S ribosomal RNA
Rfam family: Bacterial small subunit ribosomal RNA
Source: RNAcentral
AUUGAACGCUGGCGGCAUGCUUUACACAUGCAAGUCGAACGGAAGCGCGGGGUUCGGCUUGGCGGCGAGUGGCGAACGGGUGAGUAAUACAUCGGAACGUGCCCAGUAGUGGGGGAUAGCUCGGCGAAAGCGGGGUUAAUACCGCAUAAGACCUGGGGGUGCAAGCGGGGGGUCCUCUGACCUCGCGCUAUUGGAGCAGCCGAUGGCAGGUUAGUUAGUUGGGGGGGUAAGGGCAAACAAAGGCGACGAUCUAUAGCCGGUCUGAAAGGACGAACAGCCACACUGGGACUGAGCCACGGCCCAGACUCCUACGGGGGGCAGCAGUGGGGAAUUUUGGACAAUGGGCGAAAGCCUGAUCCAGCAAUGCCGCGUGUGUGAUGAAGGCCUUCGGGUUGUAAAGCACUUUUGGCGGGAACGAAAAGGACUGUGCCAAUACCACGGUUCGAUGACGGUACCCGCAGAAUAAGCACCGGCUAACUACGUG